AUUGAACGCUGGCGGCAGGCCUAACACAUGCAAGUCGAACGGUAACAGGAAGCAGCUUGCUGCUUUGCUGACGAGUGGCGGACGGGUGAGUAAUGUCUGGGAAACUGCCUGAUGGAGGGGGAUAGCUACUGGAAACGGUAGCUAAUACCGCAUAACGUCGCAAGACCAAAGAGGGGGACCUUCGGGCCUCUUGCCAUCGGAUGUGCCCAGAUGGGAUUAGCUAGUAGGUGGGGUAACGGCUCACCUAGACGACGAUCCCUAGCUGGUCUGAGAGGAUGACCAGACACACUGGAACUGAGACACGGUCCAGACUCCUACGGGAGGCAGCAGUGGGGAAUAUUGCACAAUGGGCGCAAGCCUGAU
Molecule: ribosomal RNA, 363 nt
Filed under: uncultured Escherichia sp.
Lineage: Bacteria; Pseudomonadati; Pseudomonadota; Gammaproteobacteria; Enterobacterales; Enterobacteriaceae
Description: bacterial SSU rRNA
Rfam family: Bacterial small subunit ribosomal RNA
Source: RNAcentral